GGCGACGACGGGUAGCCGGCCUGAGAGGGCGACCGGCCACACUGGGACUGAGACACGGCCCAGACUCCUACGGGAGGCAGCAGUGGGGAAUAUUGCACAAUGGGCGCAAGCCUGAUGCAGCGACGCCGCGUGAGGGAUGACGGCCUUCGGGUUGUAAACCUCUUUCAGCAGGGACGAAGCGUGAGUGACGGUACCUGCAGAAGAAGCACCGGCCAACUACGUGCCAGCAGCCGCGGUAAUACGUAGGGUGCAAGCGUUGUCCGGAAUUACUGGGCGUAAAGAGCUCGUAGGCGGUUUGUCGCGUCGUCUGUGAAAACCAGCAGCUCAACUGUUGGCUUGCAGGCGAUACGGGCAGACUUGAGUAUUUCAGGGGAGACUGGAAUUCCUGGUGUAGCGGUGAAAUGCGCAGAUAUCAGGAGGAACACCGGUGGCGAAGGCGGGUCUCUGGGAAAUAACUGACGCUGAGGAGCGAAAGCGUGGGUAGCGAACAGGAUUAGAUACCCUGGUAGUCCACGCCGUAAACGGUGGGCGCUAGGUGUGGGUUUCCUUCCACGGGAUCCGUGCCGUAGCUAACGCAUUAAGCGCCCCGCCUGGGGAGUACGG
This 603-nucleotide ribosomal RNA is filed under the name Rhodococcus sp. CMT210. RNAcentral describes it as "bacterial SSU rRNA". It matches the Rfam family "Bacterial small subunit ribosomal RNA", at positions 272 to 885 of the family's 1533-position model. The record is from RNAcentral. Lineage: Bacteria; Bacillati; Actinomycetota; Actinomycetes; Mycobacteriales; Nocardiaceae.